Molecule: long non-coding RNA, 693 nt
Organism: Ursus maritimus (polar bear)
Lineage: Eukaryota; Metazoa; Chordata; Mammalia; Carnivora; Ursidae
Source: Ensembl
GGGGAGGCCUCGGACUUCUCGCUGGCCUGGGAUUCCUCCGUGACGGCAUCAGGAGGCCUGGAAGGAGAGCCGGAGUGUGAUCGGAAAACCAGCCGUGCGCUGGAAGACAGGAACAGCGUGACAAGUCAAGAGGAGAGAAAUGAGGACGAUGAAGACAUGGAGGAUGAGUCAAUUUACACCUGCGAUCACUGUCAGCAGGACUUCGAGUGUCUGGCAGACCUGACGGACCACCGGGCCCACCGCUGUCCUGGAGCUGACAAGCAAAAAAAAAAAAGCAGAUUCAUCAGCUCAAGAAACUGAGAAGUAAGGCUGGCUUCAAGUAUGACCCUCCACGGACAUGCUCCAAGGCUCUCUACAAACCCCAUCCCCAGAGGAGUGACUCGGAUGCUUGAAUUCUUAUCAACUUCGUGGAAGUGGGAACGGAAGCUGGCCCACCCUCCUGUCCCUGAUUCUCUGCCUCUUGGCCCUUUGGGGGCAGAGUUCUGGGAGAAGCAGGUCAUGCCCUGGUGGCAUCCCCCAGCUGCUGGGCCUCUGGGACAUUGUGUCCAGGCCUCGGGCCCAGGCUGGAGAGAGGCUGGGCAGCCAUCAGGUUGGUCUGACCUUGAGGCUUGAGUGGCUCAGGUGCCCAGGUGGUGUGGAGAGGUAGCUAUGAAAUCAGCCUGCUGUGCCGGCCUCUGAGGGACCCAGGGUCAG